UCGGCCCCGCAAGGGACUGACUUAGUGGCGAACGGGUGAGUAACGCGUGAGCAACCUGCCCAUCACUUGGGGAUAACCUUGCGAAAGUAAGACUAAUACCCAAUGAUAUCUCUAGAAGACAUCUGAAGGAGAUUAAAGAUUUAUCGGUGAUGGAUGGGGAUGCGUCUGAUUAGCUUGUUGGCGGGGUAACGGCCCACCAAGGCGACGAUCAGUAGCCGGUCUGAGAGGAUGAACGGCCACACUGGAACUGAGACACGGUCCAGACUCC
Molecule: ribosomal RNA, 268 nt
Filed under: uncultured bacterium
Lineage: Bacteria
Description: partial 16S ribosomal RNA
Rfam family: Bacterial small subunit ribosomal RNA
Source: RNAcentral